GAUGAACGCUGGCGGCGUGCCUAAUACAUGCAAGUCGAGCGAACGGACGAGAAGCUUGCUUCUCUGAUGUUAGCGGCGGACGUGUGAGUAACACGUGGAUAACCUACCUAUAAGACUGGGAUAACUUCGGGAAACCGGAGCUAAUACCGGAUAAUAUUUUGAACCGCAUGGUUCAAAAGUGAAAGACGGUCUUGCUGUCUCUUAUAGAUGGAUCCGCUCUGCAUUAGUUAGUUGGUAAGGUAACGGCUUACCAAGGCAACGAUGCAUAGCCGACCUGAUAGGGUGAUCGGCCACACUGGAACUGAGACACGGUCCAGACUCCUACGGGAGGCAGCAGUAGGGGAUCUUCCGCAAUGGGCGAAAGCCUGACGGAGCAACGCCGCGUGAGUGAUGAAGGUCUUCGGAUCGUAAAACUCUGUUAUUAGGGAAGAACAUAUGUGUAAGUAACUGUGCACAUCUUGACGGUACCUAAUCAGAAAGCCACGGCUAACUACGUG
RNAcentral lists this ribosomal RNA (497 nucleotides) under uncultured bacterium. RNAcentral describes it as "partial 16S ribosomal RNA". It matches the Rfam family "Bacterial small subunit ribosomal RNA", at positions 28 to 507 of the family's 1533-position model. The record is from RNAcentral.